This 75-nucleotide transfer RNA is filed under the name Candidatus Levybacteria bacterium RIFCSPHIGHO2_01_FULL_40_83. RNAcentral describes it as "tRNA-Ala". It matches the Rfam family "tRNA". Rfam says of the family: Transfer RNA (tRNA) molecules are approximately 80 nucleotides in length. Their secondary structure includes four short double-helical elements and three loops (D, anti-codon, and T loops). Further hydrogen bonds mediate the characteristic L-shaped molecular structure. tRNAs have two regions of fundamental functional importance: the anti-codon, which is responsible for specific mRNA codon recognition, and the 3' end, to which the tRNAs corresponding amino acid is attached (by aminoacyl-tRNA synthetases). tRNAs cope with the degeneracy of the genetic code in two manners: having more than one tRNA (with a specific anti-codon) for a particular amino acid; and 'wobble' base-pairing, i.e. permitting non-standard base-pairing at the 3rd anti-codon position. Lineage: Bacteria; Candidatus Levyibacteriota. RNAcentral also lists the same sequence under 7 other names. The record is from RNAcentral.
GGGCCGGUAGCGUAACGGUAGCGCACCUCCAUGGCAUGGAGGGGGUUGGGAGUUCGAAUCUCCUCCGGUCCACAA